Acanthosepion pharaonis is the source of this 111-nucleotide non-coding RNA. Lineage: Eukaryota; Metazoa; Mollusca; Cephalopoda; Sepiida; Sepiidae. The record is from the annotation of a GenBank genome assembly.
CUUGCGGUUAUAUCACGUUGAAAAAAAAAACCGGUUGUCAUAUGAUCACCGAAGUUAAGAAACGUCAAGCCUGGUUAGUACUUAGAUGGGUGACUGCUAGGGAAUAACAGG